AAUGAUUAUAAUUUGUGUUAUGAGUUUGUAUAUUGAAGUUGGUUAAUGAUUUUGGAUGAGGUAAGAAGAAAUUGGUCGUAAGUAUGUUUGGUUGCUUUGGAUGUGUUUCAUACUAAUAUAUAUAUAUGUGAAUUUGAUUACUAUGUUUAGUCUUAGUCUUAUAUGUUUUUUUUAGUUGUAAUGUUUAAAGAACUUAGUUUUGGUAAUUCAGUGGUGAAAUCUUUUGGAUGUGUUCGUGGUUUUUAGUAAUGUAAUCCGAUUAUGAAAGGUAAUAUGUAAUAAAAAUGUCCC
Molecule: long non-coding RNA, 291 nt
Filed under: Gossypium barbadense (sea-island cotton)
Lineage: Eukaryota; Viridiplantae; Streptophyta; Magnoliopsida; Malvales; Malvaceae
Description: long non-coding RNA (GBAR_LNC010571)
Source: RNAcentral